CCAAUAGCGUAUAUUAAAGUUGUUGCAGUUAAAAAGCUCGUAGUUGAAUUUCGGGAUCAGUUCGCUGGUCGUGCCUCUGGUAUGUACUGGUGUUACUGGUUCCUCCCUUCUGAAGGACUGUCAUGUCAUUAAUUUGGUGUGGCGGGGAAUCAGGACUGUUACUUUGAAAAAAUUAGAGUGUUUAAAGCAGGCUCGCGCUUGAAUACAUUAGCAUGGAAUAAUGAAAUAGGACGUUUGAUCCUAUUUUGUUGGUUUCUAGGAUUGACGUAAUGAUUAAUAGGGAUAGUUGGGGGCAUUAGUAUUCAAUUGUCAGAGGUGAAAUUCUUGGAUUUAUUGAAGACUAACUACUGCGAAAGCAUUUGCCAAGGAUGUUUUCAUUAAUCAAGAACGAAAGUUAGGGGAUCGAAGACGAUCAGAUACCGUCGUAGUCUUAACCAUAAACUAUGCCGACUAGGGAUCGGAUGAUGUUAAUUUUUUAAUGACUCAUUCGGCGCCUUACG
RNAcentral lists this ribosomal RNA (500 nucleotides) under uncultured Glomeromycotina. Its description in RNAcentral is "partial small subunit ribosomal RNA". It matches the Rfam family "Eukaryotic small subunit ribosomal RNA", at positions 591 to 1092 of the family's 1831-position model. Lineage: Eukaryota; Fungi; Glomeromycota. The record is from RNAcentral.